UACAGAGGGUGCAAGCGUUAAUCGGAAUUACUGGGCGUAAAGGGCGCGUAGGUGGUUAUUUAAGUCAGAUGUGAAAUCCCUGGGCUUAACCUAGGAAUUGCAUUUGAAACUAGAUGGCUAGAGUAUGGUAGAGGGAAGUGGAAUUUCCGGUGUAGCGGUGAAAUGCGUAGAUAUCGGAAGGAACACCAGUGGCGAAGGCGACUUCCUGGACCAUUACUGACACUGAGGCGCGAAAGCGUGGGGAGCGAAC
RNAcentral lists this ribosomal RNA (250 nucleotides) under uncultured bacterium. Its description in RNAcentral is "partial 16S ribosomal RNA". It matches the Rfam family "Bacterial small subunit ribosomal RNA", at positions 524 to 773 of the family's 1533-position model. The record is from RNAcentral. RNAcentral also lists the same sequence under 1 other name.